This 322-nucleotide ribosomal RNA is filed under the name uncultured Chloroflexota bacterium. RNAcentral describes it as "bacterial SSU rRNA". It matches the Rfam family "Bacterial small subunit ribosomal RNA", at positions 28 to 351 of the family's 1533-position model. The record is from RNAcentral. Lineage: Bacteria; Bacillati; Chloroflexota.
GAUGAACGCUGGCGGCGUGCUUAACACAUGCAAGUCGUACGGUAGCUUUGGAUUCGUCUAAAGUGAGAGUGGCAAACGGGUGAGUAACACGUAGGUGACCUACCCCAAAGAGGGGAAUAACUGCUGGAAACGGUAGCUAAUACCUCAUGUGCCCGGUGAUUCGAUUCGCCGGGUAAAGCCGCAAGGCGCUUUGGGAUGGACCUGCGGCCCAUCAGGUAGUUGGUAGGGUAAUGGCCUACCAAGCCUAUGACGGGUAGGGGGCGUGAGAGCGCGGCCCCCCACACUGGCACUGCGACACGGGCCAGACUCCUACGGGUGGCUG